UACGUAGGUGACAAGCGUUGUCCGGAUUUAUUGGGCGUAAAGCGAGCUCAGGCGGUCUUUUAAGUCUGGUGUGAAAGCCCACAGCUCAACCGUGGAGGGUCAUUGGAAACUGGAAGAUUUGAAUGCAGAAGAGGAAAGUGGAACUCCAUGAGUAGCGGUGAAAUGCGUAGAUAUAUGGAGGAACACCAGUGGCGAAGGAGACUUUCUGGUCUGUAAUUGACGCUGAGGCUCGAAAGCGUGGGGAGCAAACAGG
RNAcentral lists this unclassified non-coding RNA (253 nucleotides) under uncultured Carnobacteriaceae bacterium. RNAcentral's name for it is "contains 16S-23S intergenic spacer region". It matches the Rfam family "Bacterial small subunit ribosomal RNA", at positions 524 to 776 of the family's 1533-position model. The record is from RNAcentral. Lineage: Bacteria; Bacillati; Bacillota; Bacilli; Lactobacillales; Carnobacteriaceae.